This 267-nucleotide small RNA is filed under the name Mus musculus (house mouse). RNAcentral's name for it is "U7snRNA". The stretch from base 206 to 267 matches the Rfam family "U7 small nuclear RNA". Lineage: Eukaryota; Metazoa; Chordata; Mammalia; Rodentia; Muridae. The record is from RNAcentral.
AUUUGCAUAGCCUUUACAAGCGGUCACAAACUCAAGAAACGAGCGGUUUUAAUAGUCUUUUAGAAUAUUGUUUAUCGAACCGAAUAAGGAACUGUGCUUUGUGAUUCACAUAUCAGUGGAGGGGUGUGGAAAUGGCACCUUGAUCUCACCCUCAUCGAAAGUGGAGUUGAUGUCCUUCCCUGGCUCGCUACAGACGCACUUCCGCAAGUGUUACAGCUCUUUUAGAAUUUGUCUAGCAGGUUUUCUGACUUCGGUCGGAAAACCCCU